UACAGAGGUCCCAAGCGUUGUUCGGAUUCACUGGGCGUAAAGGGUGCGUAGGUGGCCAGGUAAGUUUGGUGUGAAAGCUCGGAGCUUAACUCCGAAAUGUCAUUGAAUACUAUCUGGCUGGAGGGUCGGAGGGGAGACUGGAAUUCUCGGUGUAGCAGUGAAAUGCGUAGAGAUCGGGAGGAACACCUGUGGCGAAGGCGGCCCCCUGGGCCGCGCCUGACGCUGAGACGCGAAAGCGCGGGGAGCGAACGGG
This 253-nucleotide ribosomal RNA is filed under the name uncultured bacterium. RNAcentral describes it as "partial 16S ribosomal RNA". It matches the Rfam family "Bacterial small subunit ribosomal RNA", at positions 524 to 776 of the family's 1533-position model. The record is from RNAcentral.